UGGUAGUGUAUUGGACAACCAUGGCAGUCACGGGUAACGGAGAAUUAGGGUUCGAUUCCGGAGAGGGAGCCUGAGAAACGGCUACCACAUCUAAGGAAGGCAGCAGGCGCGUAAAUUACCCAAUCCCGAUUCGGGGAGGUAGUGACAAGAAAUAGCAACUCGUGCGGGUUUCCGUUACGGGAUUGCAAUGAGAUAAGUCCAAAUCCGUAAACGAUUAACAAUUGGAGGGCAAGUCUGGUGCCAGCAGCCGCGGUAAUUCCAGCUCCAAUAGCGUAUACUUAAGUUGUUGCAGUUAAAAAGCUCGUAGUUGAAAUUCGAGUCAGUUACUAGUUGGCUUUUCGUCAGUUAGUUAAUUGAUUCUCCGUCUACAAUCCCUUUUGCGCUUUAGGGUUGCAGCUGGGCGAGUAGACAAUUUACCUUGAAAAAAUUAGAGUGUUCCAGGCAGGUCUUCGCCGGAAUACAUUAGCAUGGAAUAAUGGAAUAGGACUUGGGUCUUUUGUUGGUUUUAGGACUUGAGUAAUGAUUAAUAGGGACAGAUGGGGGCAUUAGUAUUUAAUUGUCAGAGGUGAAAUUCUUGGAUUUAUUAAAGACUAACUUAUGCGAAAGCAUUUGCCAAGGAUGUUUUCAUUAAUCAAGAACGAAAGUUAUGGGAUCAAAGACAAUCAGA
Molecule: ribosomal RNA, 667 nt
Filed under: uncultured ciliate
Lineage: Eukaryota; Ciliophora
Description: SSU rRNA
Rfam family: Eukaryotic small subunit ribosomal RNA
Source: RNAcentral